UUGUAUCCACUCUUAUAUCUACUCUUUAUCAGAUACGAUAAAAGAAAAGACACGCGUAUAUUUUAUAGAUUCGUGCGAAGAAGAUGACGAUAAUCGCUAAUUAUUUACCCUGCAACGGAAGUAGAAUAGUAACGAAGAAAUGUGAAAAAGAUCACAAGUGGGCCUUACUCGGCGAUUCUCGUUGGCCCCAGUGGCGCCAUCUAUGGCCCAAGAACUCCUUAUUUGGUCCUCCUCGUAUACGAAUCCUCUAUACCCGCUCUUGUAACAAAAUUUUAUUUUCUAUUCGAUUCCUACCAACGAAACAAUUCGUCGAUCCCAUUUCUUCGUUUAAAGUUUCGCGCAAACGAUCGUACCUGCUUCUCUCUAUUCCUCAAUUAUAACAAAUCUUUAAACAAAUCGUAAAAUCCGUUCUCGAAGCAUUCCCACGGAAAUAUUGACCCAAUUCGGCCGUCGUCGAUCCGAUCGCGCGCGUAUGACGCGACGUCGGCGUCGUGACUAAAAAGAAGAAAGUAGAACAAAGUGACGGGUGUUUGUUUCAUUCGCCGCGUCUGAAUAGAUAACAGAAAAAUCCGUGGGGGCGACCGCUGUCAUACGGGAGUUUUUAUAUCGCCGUCCAGAACUUUCCGAUUGCGUCCGCGAAAAAACGAGUGGUCGUAAAGAGACGGAUUUUCCGUGGAUCCCGGCGAAUUUUAUAACGCUGGGAGGGGGGGAGGUGGAUCCGUGUAAGCACGUUUCCCUCUUGAGUUCUUACCAACUCGUAAUACACUACGCUUUUAUGUCUCGACGUUUUAUUUGUCUAAAAAUGACGCGGCGCGAUCGUCGUGUACGAGAGAGUAUAAAAUUCGAGCAUAAAUUUUUCAUCGGUGUACCGGUGGUACGAUGUUCACGGAUCGACGUGGGUGGAUCGAGUCUCGAUAAUGUUAAUAAAACAGUUCUUUAUUUGACAUUCGGACGCUCGAACACUCGACAAUAAUAAUAAUAAUGAU
Long non-coding RNA from Hylaeus anthracinus, 986 nucleotides. RefSeq lists it as uncharacterized. The record is from RefSeq and is a predicted model, not a curated record. NCBI's taxonomy places the organism in Eukaryota, Metazoa, Arthropoda, Insecta, Hymenoptera, Colletidae. The transcript has 2 exons.